AGCCGCACCACCUGCAGCUUGCACCAGGUAAUCCAUCGGAAGCUCAGCAAGCUUGGCUCUGGGCAGCCCUUGGAUGGGAAACCAACAAGGAGAGCUGAGGUGUUGUUA
RNAcentral lists this ribosomal RNA (108 nucleotides) under Paramormyrops kingsleyae. Lineage: Eukaryota; Metazoa; Chordata; Actinopteri; Osteoglossiformes; Mormyridae. The record is from RNAcentral.